Long non-coding RNA from Balaenoptera ricei (Rice's whale), 1064 nucleotides. RefSeq lists it as uncharacterized. Lineage: Eukaryota; Metazoa; Chordata; Mammalia; Artiodactyla; Balaenopteridae. The record is from RefSeq and is a predicted model, not a curated record. The transcript has 4 exons.
GGUGGUACAGUCACCUCUUUCACCCUCCUCCUCAUCAGAGGAUGGACUUCCACAUGGAGAAAUCUUGGCUGUCCUACCAUCAGCUCUGCCUUGCACUGUGAAUAUCAACUUUCCUCAGAUCAAGAGGAAGCAGACAUUAAAGUACUCCCAGAUCAAACCUGCGCCCUCUGAGCUGCACUAUUACAACUGGAAGACCCGUCCUUGAGGAAAUUCCACAAAAGGCCUCCCCAACUUGCAGGAUGAUUGCCAAGACGUAAGAGUUCAAGAUGGGACUCAUAAAUAGUUACAAUUAAGUGCAAAACAGUUUCAUUCCUCUUAUAAAAAUCCAAGCCCUUUAAUCAGCAGGGAGCAGGUAGGACAGUCUUGCCCUCAUUCCCUCAAGACUGAGGAGAUGUACAAAGAAAAAGGAAAUUGAAACAGCAUGUAAAACAUUGACCAACAUAAACUGGUUUGCCUCAAAUAGGUUGUUGAUUCAUCAAACCUUGAGUUAUUUUAAAGACGGCACCGCACAUGUGCUAGACAGGAAUCCAUGUCUCCAGGAUGACCCCAGAACAAAGAAUCUUCAGUCUACGAACAUAAAGAAUAGAAAUGUUGCCACCAGAGAGCCCUUUACAAAGAGAAGAGUCCUUAAAUGAGGAAAAUCUGGCUUCUAGCAGCACGAGUAACUUAUGUGGACUGACUUAAGACUAGCCAAUCAGCUUAUUCCCCCAACCCCUCACAUUUCGCCCCAAACCCUGGAUCAGGGAGACAGAUUUUAGCCCUGCCUCCUGCCUCCUUGUCUGUUGACCCCGCGAUAAAGCUCUUUCAUUUCUCAAAAGCCCGUGCCAUAGUAUUGGGUGCUAUGUGCAUCAGGCAGUGAGCCCUUUCUUGGUAACAAUAGAUUUAUUCUCCUUAUUUCUGAGGGAAAUAUUGUAUUAAGUUUUAGACACAGGGAGAAAUUAGAAGACAGCAAAAGAUGGCACUUAUGUAAGAAGAAGAAGGGAAACUAACACUCAGCGAGCAUUUAUGUACCAGGUAAUAUGCAGGACACAUUGCAUGUAUGAUUUCAUCCUCAGUACAGGAUA